AUAUAAUGGAGUUUCCCUCUGUGCAUUUGGAAGGGCUGUAUAACUUAGUGAACCAACAUUCUCCACUUGAUCAGUGCAUGGUGUUACAAAAUCAUGGGUGGAUUGUAUUUUGGAGAACUAAUUCUGUCAGUUACUAGGAAUCAUCAUUUGCCUUGCCAUGUCUUACUGAAUCUGCUUUCUACAUUGGGGUAGUAGUGACUCUUACAGACCCAGGGACAUCACACUGUGACAACGGAAGCAGAAAUCGCAGUGCUGUCCCUACCAGCCAAGGAACACCAAGGAUGGCCAGCAAAUACCAGAAGCUGGAAAAGGCAAGAAACAGUCCUGCCCUCCAGGUUUUCGUGGGAGCAUGGCCCUGCUGACCCCUGGAUUUGGGACUGACAGCUUCUGGGACUGUGAGGCAGGGAAGUUCUAUUGUUUUAAGCCCCCCAGUUUGUGUACUUUUUAUGGCAAUCCUAGGUGACCCUCGGCUUUCCUCUUUAAUUCAUAUUUUAAAAUUUCCUCUCUAUCUGCCAUUCACCUGUUUCUUUUUGCAUUUUCUUAAUUUCUACCUAGGUCAAAGCUAUGUUGAGAUUUUACUUCUGCCCAGCAACCAUAGGGACUCGAUUAAUGGUGUUGUUUUUAGGAACCCCACUGUCCCAAAGGUGAAAAUUGGUCCCAAAGGUGACAAUUGAUCUCCUAUGUCAUGUACUUGAUGAUAAGAUAGGAACCAAAAACUGCACCGGUAAAAUCUUCCCACCCAUUGUGUCCACCAAAUUUAAAAUUGCUCUGUUAAGGCUGUGGGUUUUGGUCCACCCAGCAUCAAGGAGAAACUAUCACUCGCUCACUCACCUGGCUCCAAUCUCCUACUUCUCCUUGUACCAAUCUCUUUCAUAGUCAUGACUCACUUUGUACUCCCUCUGUAGAUGAAUCUGUGGUCCAGUCACUCAGACCAAUUCUGAAAGAAACCUGAGAAGUUCAGGUCUAUUGCUCUGUGAUGGCGGCUGAAUUCCACACCCUUGGGCUCAUUUUGCACGUUGUACAUUGCAUUCCUUUAUCAAAGUGAAUCUGCUCUACUUGUAGGUCAUUGUCUAAUUGCCUGUCUCCUCCACACAACUGCAAGCAGGACCUGUCUUUCAUCUUUGUUUCCCCGAGGCUUAGCACAGUGAUUGGCACACAGUAGGCCUCCUAGAUAUAUAUAUCCAAUUGAAUGAGAGGAAUGAGGGAAAGGCAGCAUCAAGCCAUCCUUGCUGCUUCCCCCUCUUUUAAUUGGAUGGCUUCAGAUUGUCCAGCUAUCCAGCAUCUACAUGUAAGUAUAGACAAAGGAUUUCCAAAACCACUACAAGAUAAAUUAUGUUCUAGGACACCUGGCUGGCUCAGUCGGAAAAGCAUGCUAUGCUUGAACUUGAGGUCGUGAGUUCAAACCCCACACUGGGUGUAGACAUGACUAAAAAUAAAUCAGUAAACUUAAAAAAAAAAAGAUAAGUUAGGUUCUAGGGAAGUUUCAGAAACUCUGCUGGUAGAACCACAUGAACAAGGGGAUUUAACAUUCCUCUUUACGUUGUUUCAGUGCAAUUAUGUAUGUGUAGGAACUGGGGUUGGUUCAAAGGUUAAAGUGAGGUGAUUGUUCUGAAUUGGCAAUUAUUUAUGUCCUUGUGGACAUAACUAUGGGAUUGGAAUAUU
This is a long non-coding RNA of Lutra lutra (Eurasian river otter), 1662 nucleotides long. RefSeq lists it as uncharacterized. The transcript has 3 exons. The record is from RefSeq and is a predicted model, not a curated record. Lineage: Eukaryota; Metazoa; Chordata; Mammalia; Carnivora; Mustelidae.